Molecule: ribosomal RNA, 896 nt
Filed under: Simulium nobile
Lineage: Eukaryota; Metazoa; Arthropoda; Insecta; Diptera; Simuliidae
Description: partial 16S ribosomal RNA
Source: RNAcentral
UUUUAAUAUAUCUAGUUUUUUAAGAAAUAAAUUUAAUUUAGUUAAUUAAUUUUAAUAAUUUAAUUUUUAAUGUUAUUAUAAUUAAUUAAUAAUAUUUUAAGGGAUGAGCUUUAAAAUAAAAUUUUAUAAAUAAUUAUAAUUAAAAAUAAUUGUAGGCUUAGAAUUAGCUAUCAAUAGAAAUUAUGUUUUAAUUUAUUUUGUUUUUAAUAUUAUUUAAUAUUUAUUUUAAAUUUUUUAUUAAAAUAUAAAUUUUAAUUUAUUAAAUUUAUUAAUAAUGAUAAAAUUAGUAAAUAUAUUUAAUUUUAUAAAUAAAUCUAAUUUGAUUGGUUUUUAUAAUUAAUUCGGCAAAUUUUGUGUUCACCUGUUUAUCAAAAACAUGUCUUUUUGGUUAUUUAAUAUAAAGUCUGACCUGCCCACUGAAUAUAGUUUUAAAGGGCCGCAGUAUUUUGACUGUGCAAAGGUAGCAUAAUCAUUAGUCUUUUAAUUGAAGGCUGGUAUGAAUGGUUGGAUGAGGUACAAGCUGUGUCAUAAAAAUUAAUAUUUGAAUUUACCUUUUUAGUCAAAAGGCUAAAAUUUUAUUAAAAGACGAGAAGACCCUAUAGAGCUUUAUAUAAUUAAUAUUUAGAUUAUUAAUAUUUUUUAAAUUUAAUUAUUUUAUUAUAUUUUGUUGGGGUGACAAUAAAAUUUAUAAAACUUUUAUUAUUAUUAUUCAUUAAUUUAUGUUUAAAUGAUCCAAUUUUAUUGAUUAUAAAUUUAAGUUACCUUAGGGAUAACAGCGUAAUUUUUUUUGAGAGUUCUUAUCGACAAAAAAGAUUGCGACCUCGAUGUUGGAUUAAGAGUAAUUUUGGGUGUAGAAGUUCAAAAUUUAAGUCUGUUCGACUUUUAAAUUCUUACAU